RNAcentral lists this ribosomal RNA (88 nucleotides) under uncultured fungus. Its description in RNAcentral is "partial 5.8S ribosomal RNA". It matches the Rfam family "5.8S ribosomal RNA", at positions 72 to 154 of the family's 154-position model. Rfam says of the family: 5.8S ribosomal RNA (5.8S rRNA) is a component of the large subunit of the eukaryotic ribosome. It is transcribed by RNA polymerase I as part of the 45S precursor that also contains 18S and 28S rRNA. Lineage: Eukaryota; Fungi. The record is from RNAcentral.
UUGCAAAAUUCAGUGAAUCAUUCGAAUCUUCCGAACGCACCUUGCGCCCUUUGGCUAUUCCGAAGGGCAUGCCUGUUUGAGUAUCAUG